CUGGGCUUAAAUGUAGAGUGCAUGAGGGGGAAACCUCUCUUUCCUUCGGGACUCUUUACAAGGUGCUGCAUGGUUGUCGUCAGCUCGUGCCGUGAGGUGUCGGGUUAAGUCCCAUAACGAGCGCAACCCCUACUUCUAGUUGCCAUCAGGUAAUGCUGGGGACUCUAGAGGAACUGCCUACGCAAGUAGUGAGGAAGGUGGGGAUGACGUCAAAUCAGCACGGCCCUUACGUCCAGGGCUACACACGUGCUACAAUGGUCGGUACAGAGGGCAGCUACCACGCGAGUGGAUGCAAAUCUCCAAAGCCGAUCUCAGUUCGGAUCGAAGUCUGAAACUCGACUUCGUGAAGUUGGAUUCGCUAGUAAUCGCGCAUCAGCCAUGGCGCGGUGAAUACGUUCCC
This 400-nucleotide ribosomal RNA is filed under the name uncultured bacterium. RNAcentral's name for it is "bacterial SSU rRNA". It matches the Rfam family "Bacterial small subunit ribosomal RNA", at positions 975 to 1375 of the family's 1533-position model. The record is from RNAcentral.